Molecule: small nuclear RNA, 24 nt
Filed under: Arabidopsis thaliana (thale cress)
Lineage: Eukaryota; Viridiplantae; Streptophyta; Magnoliopsida; Brassicales; Brassicaceae
Description: snRNA_11515
Source: RNAcentral
GCGACUAAAACCAGCGACUAAUCG